Camelus dromedarius (Arabian camel) is the source of this 100-nucleotide small nuclear RNA. NCBI's taxonomy places the organism in Eukaryota, Metazoa, Chordata, Mammalia, Artiodactyla, Camelidae. The record is from Ensembl.
GUUCUCACUUCGGCAACACUAAACUUAGAAUGAUACAGAGAAGAUUAGCAUGGUCCCUGCCAGGGAUAACAUACAGAUUUGUGAAACGUUCCAUAUUUUU